Molecule: non-coding RNA, 646 nt
Organism: Odocoileus virginianus texanus
Lineage: Eukaryota; Metazoa; Chordata; Mammalia; Artiodactyla; Cervidae
Source: RefSeq, a predicted model, not a curated record
CCAUCGGGGGAGCAGCUGGAUGCGCGUCGGGACUCCGUUGACAGUUUUUUAGACGCUAGCCUCGGGAUCACUUUGCUUGAGAUUCUGUAUCACUGUAACAUGUCCCCACACUGGAUACUUUACACCUAUUAUUUAUAAUGCUCACAACAGCUUUGCAAGAAUUGGACCCCAGACCCUAGAACACGUCACAGCUGGACUGCUGCCGUAGGGGUGGACAUACGAAGCUGAUCCUUCCUCAGCGGCCCCUUCUCCUCUGAGAAGGGCAGGGGACGAGGGGAGUCUUGUAAAUAACUUACCAGGGCACUAUUUGAAAAUGACUGCUCUGCAACUGUGAUCCCUGCUUUUUGGAGGGUGCUGAGCCCAAAGAGGGGGACGAUGGAUUUUACUGUCCAAGACGAGGUCAGCAAGCUUUGUCUGUGAGCUCAAUACGUGAAAGGUAUUGAAUUGCAUGCCUUAGUAGAUUUUAUAAUGUGAAUAAUCAGACUGCUGGCUUAUCUUUUUGUAAUUUUCCUGUUAAGAUUGUCCCUUUUCUUAAUAAGAGAUGUAGUCUCCAGUUUUUGUUACUCUUCAGAAAUGGUUCAAGUACAGUAUAGUAUUAUUACUACAGAUAGAUUGCAGCCAUUAAACACUCUCUGAUUUUUCUUGA